This 484-nucleotide ribosomal RNA is filed under the name uncultured bacterium. Its description in RNAcentral is "partial 16S ribosomal RNA". It matches the Rfam family "Bacterial small subunit ribosomal RNA", at positions 30 to 507 of the family's 1533-position model. The record is from RNAcentral.
AUUGAACGCUAGCGGGAUGCUUUACACAUGCAAGUCGAACGGCAGCGCGGACUUCGGUCUGGCGGCGAGUGGCGAACGGGUGAGUAAUGUAUCGGAACGUGCCCAGUAGCGGGGGAUAACUACGCGAAAGCGUAGCUAAUACCGCAUACGCCCUACGGGGGAAAGCAGGGGAUCGUAAGACCUUGCACUAUUGGAGCGGCCGAUAUCGGAUUAGCUAGUUGGUGAGGUAACGGCUCACCAAGGCGACGAUCCGUAGCUGGUUUGAGAGGACGACCAGCCACACUGGGACUGAGACACGGCCCAGACUCCUACGGGAGGCAGCAGUGGGGAAUUUUGGACAAUGGGGGCAACCCUGAUCCAGCCAUCCUGCGUGUGCGAUGAAGGCCUUCGGGUUGUAAAGCACUUUUGGCAGGAAAGAAACGUCGCGGGCUAAUACCCCGUGGAACUGACGGUACCUGCAGAAUAAGCACCGGCUAACUACGUG